RNAcentral lists this long non-coding RNA (280 nucleotides) under Brassica napus (rape). Its description in RNAcentral is "long non-coding RNA (BNAP_LNC001608)". The record is from RNAcentral. Lineage: Eukaryota; Viridiplantae; Streptophyta; Magnoliopsida; Brassicales; Brassicaceae.
AGCGGUGGUGUUACUGGAUCCGAAUAGCAGAGAGUUCGUUGUUAAUGGUCAGCGUCUAAAGCUAUAUCUUGCUGAAACGACAAUCGCAUAAAGUGAAGAAAUUCCCUUAGACAAUCCUUCCUCGGCCUAAUAGGCUAAUCAAGUCAAGCUAGUGACUUUAACCAAAUGCUUGGUGGGAGGCAACCCACUAGUAAGUACAUAUUUAUAUUCUUUUCGUUUUUUUUUUUUUAAUUUUUUAGGAACUCACUUGCAGAUUUAAAAACAAGAAAACCCGAACUCA